UCCAGUAGAAGAACCAGAAGAAGCUAACAGGAAGUGACAAUAAAGAAAAUAAAAUCAUAUCUGUUUGGUCCUAUAGUUCACUGGAGAAGCCUGUCCUCCCCAAUGAAACGUAUCUUCGGACAGUUGCCCCUUCAAGACUCUUAGCCCUGGAUCACUGACUAUGACAUCCCAGAAUGACUCCAGCACCCAUGAGGAAACAUCUAGCUGCCUUACCAAGAGUGCUUCUGGGCUGAGAGACGUUCUUGAAAGCAGCACAAAACAGUAAAACAUGCAAAAUCCACAUUCAAGAUGCAUUAUGGAAGAUGGAAGUCAUAUGGUGUGUGUCAUUGUGUAUUACCUGUAACAAAGCAUGUGCUAUGAGCCUUUUACAGAGAGAUGGCGACCUCUUCUGCCUACUCACCCUAGGAGAGGCAAGGUGAAACGUGGUAAUAGCUCACCCACCUUUUCUCUCUGAUAUGCUGGGAUCAACAGUGCUACAACUACACUAUUCACCCUUGGAGUCA
This is a non-coding RNA of Chrysemys picta bellii (western painted turtle), 503 nucleotides long. The record is from RefSeq and is a predicted model, not a curated record. NCBI's taxonomy places the organism in Eukaryota, Metazoa, Chordata, Testudines, Emydidae.